RNAcentral lists this long non-coding RNA (878 nucleotides) under Homo sapiens (human). RNAcentral's name for it is "non-protein coding LINC00518:12". The record is from RNAcentral. Lineage: Eukaryota; Metazoa; Chordata; Mammalia; Primates; Hominidae.
CUCUCUCUCGGCAUGGACACAAAAGAAAAGCCAUGUGAGGACACAGAGAGAAGGUGGCUGUCUACGAGCUAGGAAGAAAGGCCUCACCGGAAACCAACCCUCACAGCAGCUCCAUCUUGGACUUCCAGCCUCCGGAACUGUGAGAAAAUAAAUGUUUGCAAUUCAGGGAGCUCCACCCAGCAGCAGCGUUUGACAGAGCUGUUCACUUCCUCUUCCUGGAGCUGUGGCUUCCAGAGCCCAUGCUCAGCAGUUCCCCUCCUUCUUCGACUGCUCCUCUCUUAGGCUCAGAGCCACUCAGACAUUGGGAAGCAAGUUUGUCAAGAUGACAGAGAACCGAGGUAAUGGAUUCGAGUGAUGAAACAGGAAGUUCAUUCAUGAGUUUUUGGCCACACCUCCAAAGUGACGACUUAGCCAGAAAUGGGAUAACUGGGUUUCCCUACUUCUCUUUUAUCAUCCUCAAUGAGAGUGACCAAAUAUUAGAGCUAGAUGGAACCUUAGUGAAAAUCUGGCUACUCGUCCCGUCCCACCAGCCUGCCACCCAUUUCAAGUUUGAAGAGACAAAGACACAUGGACCUUAUGUAAUUACUGGGGAUUACCCCAGGAGUCUGUGGCAAAAGUCAGCUUCUUCCCUCCCUGCUUCCCCGCCCUGUCUCUGGUACUUUCUACCAACACUGGGCUGUUUCUGUGAUCACACUUAAGCGUACCUAACCUGCGAAUGCUGUAUAGAAGGUGCUAAUGAACAUGAUUUAGCUUUAACACUCAGUUUUCUAAAGGGACACGUGGGGGCAGCAAAUGUUUAGGCAAAAACAAUUCCAGUUCUAGCCUCUACUGUCUACAUAUGUGUAUACAUUUGGGAAACGUUUGGGAAAGGGAUAUUU